This 432-nucleotide long non-coding RNA is filed under the name Numida meleagris (helmeted guineafowl). Its description in RNAcentral is "lncRNA (ENSNMEG00000006787.1)". The record is from RNAcentral. Lineage: Eukaryota; Metazoa; Chordata; Aves; Galliformes; Numididae.
GAUGGUGACAGUCACAGUGUUUGUGCUAUGACUCUGUGAAAGAAAGACAGAACUUGAAGCUAGAGGUAUGUUGCCAAAAAAAGACAGACUUGGAUUUCACCAUUUUUCUUCUUGAAGAAAAUAUUAAGUAGAAAGUCCAGCACUGUUCUUCCUAGCCAGCAGAUAGGAUUACACAAACUUCUUACUGCAAUUAUUCUCUUUGGUAGGAGACUAUGCCAACUGCUCCCAUCAACAAUGGAAAAGUAUAGACUGGGAGGAGUGGUUUAAUCCAGCCCGUGGCUGUGUUGUGAUUUACUAAUCAAAGUGCCCCAAAGCACAGUUCUUGUCCAGUAUUUGUUUCUUUAUUAAGCAGAGCACUGUGCUGUCAUAUGUGAAUCACACGUAUGACACAGGGCACUUUGACUGGGACAAGAGACUGUAAAAGUGCACACU